GAAAAUAAAAGUCUUAUCGCUUUUUAAAGAGGAAAGUCCGAACAACACAGAGCAACGUGCUUCCUAACGGGAAGGGGAGAAAUCCACAGAAAGUGCCACAGAAAAUUACCGCCUUCGGGUAAGGGUGAAAAGGUGGGGUAAGAGCCCACCGCAAAUUUGGUGACAAGUUUGGCUAGGUAAACCUCACGUGUUGCAAAAUCAAAUAGGUCGGUGCAGUAAUGCACAGGUUGCUCGCCUGAUGCCGAUGGGUAGAUUGCUAGAGACUUUCAGUGAUGAAAGUCCAAGAUAAAUGAUAAGAGAGCUUUUAGCUUACAGAAUUCGGCUUAUAUUUUAUUUUCUCCU
Molecule: RNase P RNA, 342 nt
Filed under: Sandaracinomonas limnophila
Lineage: Bacteria; Pseudomonadati; Bacteroidota; Cytophagia; Cytophagales; Flectobacillaceae
Description: Bacterial RNase P class A
Rfam family: Bacterial RNase P class A
About the family: Ribonuclease P (RNase P) is a ubiquitous endoribonuclease, found in archaea, bacteria and eukarya as well as chloroplasts and mitochondria. Its best characterised activity is the generation of mature 5'-ends of tRNAs by cleaving the 5'-leader elements of precursor-tRNAs.
Source: Rfam by way of RNAcentral